Molecule: ribosomal RNA, 253 nt
Filed under: uncultured bacterium
Lineage: Bacteria
Description: partial 16S ribosomal RNA
Rfam family: Bacterial small subunit ribosomal RNA
Source: RNAcentral
UACGUAGGGUGCGAGCGUUGUCCGGAAUUAUUGGGCGUAAAGGGCUCGUAGGCGGUUUGUCGCGUCGGGAGUGAAAACAUCCAGCUUAACUGGGUGCUUGCUUUCGAUACGGGCAGACUAGAGGUAUGCAGGGGAGAACGGAAUUCCCGGUGUAGAGGUGAAAUUCGUAGAGAUCGGGAGGAACACCGGUGGCGAAGGCGGCAUCCUGGACCGGCAUUGACGCUGAGGCGCGAAAGCCAGGGGAGCAAACGGG